AAAGGAAUUGACGGGGGCCCGCACAAGCAGUGGAUUAUGUGGUUUAAUUCGAAGCAACGCGAAGAACCUUACCAAGGUUUGACAUCCAACUAAGGUUGCAGAGAUGUGACUGUGCCCUUCGGGGAAAGUUGAGACAGGUGGUGCAUGGUUGUCGUCAGCUCGUGUCGUGAGAUGUUGGGUUAAGUCCCGCAACGAGCGCAACCCUUAUUGCUAGUUGCUACGCAAGAGCACUCUAGCGAGACUGCCGUUGACAAAACGGAGGAAGGUGGGGACGACGUCAAAUCAUCAUGCCCCUUAUAUCUUGGGCUACACACGUAAUACAAUGGCAUUUAACAGAGGGAAGCAAGACCGCGAGGUGGAGCAAAUCCCUAAAAGGUGUCUCAGUUCGGAUCGCAGGCUGCAACUCGCCUGCGUGAAGUCGGAAUUGCUAGUAAUCGCGGAUCAGCAUGCCGCGGUGAAUACGUUCCCGGGCCUUGUACACACCGCCCGU
RNAcentral lists this ribosomal RNA (490 nucleotides) under uncultured bacterium. RNAcentral describes it as "bacterial SSU rRNA". It matches the Rfam family "Bacterial small subunit ribosomal RNA", at positions 903 to 1397 of the family's 1533-position model. The record is from RNAcentral.